This 266-nucleotide ribosomal RNA is filed under the name uncultured prokaryote. Its description in RNAcentral is "partial 16S ribosomal RNA". It matches the Rfam family "Bacterial small subunit ribosomal RNA", at positions 524 to 789 of the family's 1533-position model. The record is from RNAcentral.
UACGUAGGGUGCGAGCGUUGUCCGGAAUUGCUGGGCGUAAAGAGCUCGUAGGUGGUUUGUCACGUCGUCUGUGAAAUUCCGGGGCUUAACCUCGGGCGUGCAGGCGAUACGGGCAAUACUUGAGUGCUGUAGGGGAGACUGGAAUUCCUGGUGUAGCGGUGAAAUGCGUAGAGAUCCGGAGGAACACCAGUGGCGAAGGCGACACGCUGGGCCUGACCUGACGCUGAGAGGCGAAAGCAUGGGGAGCGAACGGGAUUAGAUACCCG